AUGAAGAUCCUCUUGGUCUUUGCCCUCCUCGUUGUAUCAACGACCAUCACCACCGCGAUCGUGCAGCUCGACCCUAGUGUCCAUGUCCAAGAAAGGCCACAACAAUCAUUUCUGCAGCAGCAACCACUUACCCAGCAACAACCAUUGCCGCUGCAAGAACCACAACAACCACUAUUCCCGCAAAAAGAGCCACAACAACCAUUUUCGCUGCAGCAACCACAACCCCAGGAACAACAACCAUAUCCACAACAGCCACUUCUCCAACAACAACUUCCCCAGCAACAUCUAUUCCCGCAGCAGCCACCACAACAACAAUUUCCGCAGCAGAUGCCACUUCCAUAUGAACAACAAACAUUCCCGCAACAACAGCAACAGCAACCACAAUUCCCGCAACAACAACCAUUUCCCCAAUAUCAACAACCAUUAACACAACAACCAUACCCGCAAGAGCAACCAUUGCCACAACAACAACCUUCUGUGGAGGAAAAACAACAAUUGAACUUGUGCAAGGAGUUCCUCCUGCAACAGUGCAACCCGGAGGAGAAACUGUCAUUAAUCCAGUCAGUGAUCCCGUUCCUCCGACCAAAGACCUCGCAACAGAAUAGCUGCCAGUUGAAGCGUCUACAAUGUUGUCGACAACUUGCACGUAUCAAUGAACCGUCCCGAUGCCCGGCCAUCCACAACAUUGUGCAUGCCAUCGUCAUGCAACAACAACAUGUGGAUAGAGGUUUCGGCCAGCCUCAACCACAACAGUUGGGCCAGGGAAUGCCCAUGCAGCCUCAAUAUCAAUUGGGCCAGGGCUUUAUCCUACCUCAACAACUAGCCCAGUUCAAGUUGGUUAGGUUACUUGUGAUUCAGACCCUGCCUAUGUUAUGCAACGUGCAUGUCCCAUCUGACUGCUACACCACUAGUGCACCAUUUGGUAGCAUGACUGCCAUGAACGGUGGACAGUGA
RNAcentral lists this ribosomal RNA (954 nucleotides) under Triticum aestivum (bread wheat). RNAcentral's name for it is "partial small subunit ribosomal RNA". Lineage: Eukaryota; Viridiplantae; Streptophyta; Magnoliopsida; Poales; Poaceae. The record is from RNAcentral.